CGGGUACCCCUCCGGCAACUUGAAUCUCCCUGGUGAGUUAAACUGUUUUGUUCCUCUCCCUGCGGAGGGAUCGUUACCUGUUUACAGGUCCCAAACCCAAUGUGACCGUUACCAAACUGUUGCCUCGGCGGGGUCACGCCCCGGGUGCGUCGCAGCCCCGGAACCAGGCGCCCGCCGGAGGAACCAACCAAACUCUUUCUGUAGUCCCCUCGCGGACGUAUUUCUUACAGCUCUGAGCAAAAAUUCAAAAUGAAUCAAAACUUUCAACAACGGAUCUCUUGGUUCUGGCAUCGAUGAAGAACGCAGCGAAAUGCGAUAAGUAAUGUGAAUUGCAGAAUUCAGUGAAUCAUCGAAUCUUUGAACGCACAUUGCGCCCGCCAGUAUUCUGGCGGGCAUGCCUGUCCGAGCGUCAUUUCAACCCUCGAACCCCUCCGGGGGAUCGGCGUUGGGGAUCGGGACCCCUCACACGGGUGCCGGCCCCUAAAUACAGUGGCGGUCUCGCCGCAGCCUCUCCUGCGCAGUAGUUUGCACAACUCGCACCGGGAGCGCGGCGCGUCCACGUCCGUAAAACACCCAACUUUCUGAAAUGUGACCUCGGAUCAGGUAGGAAUACCCGCGACUAGCUUUUCCCCCCCUUCCC
Molecule: ribosomal RNA, 640 nt
Filed under: Trichoderma asperellum
Lineage: Eukaryota; Fungi; Ascomycota; Sordariomycetes; Hypocreales; Hypocreaceae
Description: eukaryotic LSU rRNA
Rfam family: 5.8S ribosomal RNA (bases 259-412)
Source: RNAcentral